RNAcentral lists this transfer RNA (60 nucleotides) under Colletotrichum orbiculare MAFF 240422. It matches the Rfam family "tRNA", at positions 7 to 64 of the family's 71-position model. From Rfam's summary of the family: Transfer RNA (tRNA) molecules are approximately 80 nucleotides in length. Their secondary structure includes four short double-helical elements and three loops (D, anti-codon, and T loops). The record is from Rfam by way of RNAcentral. Lineage: Eukaryota; Fungi; Ascomycota; Sordariomycetes; Glomerellales; Glomerellaceae.
AUAGUUUAAUUGGUUAAAACUUUAAUUUCAUGCACUAAAAAUGGGAAUUCGAUUUUCCCU